Molecule: long non-coding RNA, 320 nt
Filed under: Zosterops lateralis melanops
Lineage: Eukaryota; Metazoa; Chordata; Aves; Passeriformes; Zosteropidae
Description: lncRNA (ENSZLMG00000009516.1)
Source: RNAcentral
CGCUUUUCCCGGGCGCCGUACCCUGCGGAGCCUCGCAGCGCUACUCCGGGAGCCGCCGUGUCGCCGGGCAGCUGUUUCCUGGUGGUAUUUCUAAGCUGAUACACAGGAUGUUGAAGAGACUAUCUCACAUAAAAAUCUUGAAAAGCUACAGGGCCUUUUUUGCCAGUGAGAACUAAAGCAUGACUAUCAUCCAGGAAGUGAGUGGAUUUUUCCUUCCAUUUCCCUGAAAAACUUGCCGAAUUCCUGAGAAACACAAAAUUUUCUUCUGAAGUUGUUUAAACUCAUAUGAACAGAGAGGAGGACAUUUUUUUAAGCCCUAC